GCCCUUGUCCCCUAGAGGCAAAGCGCCCCCGAUCCCUUCUUCCAAAUACACUCUUUUGUCUCAUCUUUAUUCCCGUGUUCACCCCACUUUGUUUAGUCCACCUAGGUCCGUGCAGGUUACAAAUGGCAACCAGAACAGGGACUCCAAGCACGCCCAACUAGCAGCAUCCAAACAUGGGACUUCAAGGACGUGAAUGAAGAAGGUCUGCUGGAGCAGAGGAACUGAAAUUGACAAGGCGAAAGGGGACCCUGGGAAGAGUCUGCCGGCAGCAGAUAUAAGUCUGUAAAAUCGGAUGGACCACCAAUUGGAGAAUGAGAGCCUCCCAGCCCAGCCUUACAUUCUUUCAAUUAAUACAUAAACAGAAAGGGGGAUAUGCAGGGAGCCAAAGGCCUGUGGGACGUGACCAACUCAGCAUUCUGCUGGAGGCUAUAUGAUCAAACAGCAAACUGUUUAUCAUGAAUACAGGAUGUGAGCAAACUCAGGACUGCUCCUGCCAACAUAAGGUUUGCUGGAGGCAAUCACUCCCUGGCACCGAGGUUAUCUACUGCGACAUCUAGAGAAUGCAGUCUUGCAAGCCUACUCUGAACUGAGCAGCCGACCCCUUCUUCCACCCCCCCACCCUCCUAUCUCUUUUGCCUAAUAAAUACGGAGGGCUGUGUAAAGCUCAGGGCCCUUGUCCACUAGAGGUAAGGUGCUCCCUGACCCCUUCUCCCAAAUAUACUCUUUUGUCUCCUGUCUUUAUUCCCACGUUCACCCCCAUUUGUGCAGUCCCAUGGGUCCAUGUGGGUUACGGCCCGCCACCGCGCCUGGCUGAUUUUUGUAUUUUUAGUAGAGAUCGGAUUUCAGCAUCUUGGUCAGGCUGGCCUUCAACUCCGGAUCUCAUCACACACCCGCCUCAGCCUCCCCACAUGCGGUUAUUAUAGUUGAUAUGUCUGAACCAAAAUGAUAUGGGAAGCUUGAGAAUAAAAGGUUGGAGACAAUAUGCCACAGAGAGAGUAACCAAAGAUAAUCUGUUAUAACUAUAUCUCAGACAAAACUGACCAGAAAUCCUAAAGAAUUAACAGAGAGAAAGAGAAACAAUGCUCACUGAAAAGAGGUGAAAUUUGGCUCUUCAUUCAUAGAAAUACACCAUAUGUAUACCCCUAACAACAGUCUUGAAAUGUAUACAGCAAAAAAUAGAACCAAAAACAAGAAAUAGAAAAUUCAGACUAAAGACUUUAACAGACCUUUCCUAGUAACUGACAGAACAGACCAUCAACAAACAAAAUAAAAUUUAUAAAUGAGAAAGAAAUGAAUCUUUUAUCUGAGGAAUGUGACUCCCUUUAAAUUAUCAGGUCUAGAGAGGCAUUAAAAUGUGACAGCAGUCUUUCUGAUAGGGGUUCCCCUGAAAAAAAGAAAAAAGAAAAAAUUAAAAACUAAAAAAAAAAUUUAAUGUGACAAUAGUCACAUCUCAUUUCCCCCUCAAGCUAAAUAAUUAUCUCUUAAAGCCACUUGCUAUGUAGGCUCUAGACUAACUCACACUGAGUAGCCAUAAAAUGCCAUUCACUGGACAUCCUAACUCAUAAAACCCCAUAGUUAACAAUGUACAGCCAAUUGUUAAUUGAUAUUAUUUCUGUAAACCAAUGAGAAUUCUUGCCAAACAACUUUAUGUCAGCUCACGGUUUGUUCCCUUUUGACUUUAAAACCUGUUUCUAACAAAAUCCUAACAGAGCACUUAACCAAGGCAACCUGAAAGUAUUUUCCCAGGCAGCUGUCCUCAUUUUGGCUCAAGUAAACUCUUUAAAAUUGUAUUUUGUGCAGUUUCCUCUUUUAGGCUGACAUAAACGAUAUCAUUUAGAAGAACUCGAAUAUAUUUUUAAAAUUAGAUUUACUGAGAUAAAUUUUAACAGUUUUAAAUAAAUGCAAAGAUGUACUAUAAAGAUGGGCUGGAAAACAAAGCAU
Molecule: long non-coding RNA, 1941 nt
Filed under: Homo sapiens (human)
Lineage: Eukaryota; Metazoa; Chordata; Mammalia; Primates; Hominidae
Description: HSALNT0398609
Source: RNAcentral